GAUGAAGAACGUAGCGAAAUGCGAUACGUAAUGUGAAUUGCAGAAUUCAGUGAAUCAUCGAGUCUUUGAACGCACAUUGCGCCCUCUGGUAUUCCGGAGGGCAUGCCUGUCCGAGCGUCAUUGCUGCCCUCAAGCACGGCUUGUGUGUUGGGCUCCGUCCCCCGAUCCCGGGGGACGGGCCCGAAAGGCAGCGGCGGCACCGCGUCCGGUCCUCGAGCGUAUGGGGCUUUGUUACCCGCUCUGUAGGCCCGGCCGGCGCUUGCCGAUCAACCAAAUUUUUAUCCAGGUUGACCUCGGAUCAGGUAGGGAUACCCGCUGAACUUAAGCAUAUCAAUAAGCGGAGGA
RNAcentral lists this unclassified non-coding RNA (345 nucleotides) under soil metagenome. Its description in RNAcentral is "partial contains 5.8S ribosomal RNA, internal transcribed spacer 2, and large subunit ribosomal RNA". The stretch from base 1 to 120 matches the Rfam family "5.8S ribosomal RNA", at positions 35 to 154 of the family's 154-position model. The record is from RNAcentral.